CCCUUAGAUGUUCUGGGCCGCACGCGCGCUACACUGUUCGACGCAGCGAGUCUUAACCUUGACCGAAAGGUUUGGGUAAUCUUCAGCAAAGUCGAACGUGAUGGGGAUCGAUCAUUGCAAUUAUUGAUCGUGAACGAGGAAUUCCUAGUAAGUGCAAGUCAUCAGCUUGCGCUGAUUGCGUCCCUGCCCUUUGUACACACCGCCCGUCGCUACUACCGAUUGAAUGGUUUAGUGAGAUCUCUGGAUUGACGCUGGCUAGGGGGCGACCCUUGGCCAGGCUGUCGAGAAACUGCUCAAACUUGAUCAUUUAGAGGAAGUAAAAGUCGUAACA
This 331-nucleotide ribosomal RNA is filed under the name uncultured eukaryote. RNAcentral describes it as "partial 18S ribosomal RNA". It matches the Rfam family "Eukaryotic small subunit ribosomal RNA", at positions 1470 to 1796 of the family's 1831-position model. The record is from RNAcentral.